CCAAAAUAAUUAAUUAAAAAACUAAAAAUAUCAUAACAAGGGUUCAUCUCAUCCUAACAAUGUAUAAAAUUAGCCUAACAUAUUGAAACUACAAGAAAUCAUAUAUAAGUGGAAAAACAUAACCAAUAUUUUUAAUAAAUUGAGAAGAUGAAGAUGAAUCUUGAAAUCUUGAACCUCUUCAAUGGUUUCUUAAUGAGUCUUUACUUGCGCUCUCUCUUCUCUGUCAAAUAUCAAGUUUGAAUCUUCACUUGAUUAAAUUCUUGCAAGUCCCAUUCAAUUCUCUCAUAAAAACAAUGAAUUUUCCUCAUUUGAUGAUGAUAAUUGAUGAAUAUUAGAGUAUAUUGUAUAUAAGAGAU
This 356-nucleotide long non-coding RNA is filed under the name Olea europaea subsp. europaea. The record is from RNAcentral. Lineage: Eukaryota; Viridiplantae; Streptophyta; Magnoliopsida; Lamiales; Oleaceae.